RNAcentral lists this long non-coding RNA (519 nucleotides) under Bos taurus (domestic cattle). Its description in RNAcentral is "long non-coding RNA NONBTAT000260". Lineage: Eukaryota; Metazoa; Chordata; Mammalia; Artiodactyla; Bovidae. The record is from RNAcentral.
CCCUAAGUUGUCAUAUGUGUUUAACUGAAGAGUGCUGAGGACAAAGGCUGUAUUGAUAUGACAUGCUAAAAAUGCAUUGAAUUUUAAAAAUCUAUAAAUAUUGUACUUUUUGUCAAUAAAAAUAACAUUUUAUCAACUUGACUCUUUGUCAAGUUUUGUAACUGAAUUACAUAUUAUGUGAAAACUAAUCAAAUGUUCAAAAACUGGCCUCCACCAGUUGAAAUGUAAAAUGCAAGCAUGGAAUUUUACUUGAAAGUGGAAAUCAAACUAACUUUAGUUAUAGUCUAUGUAUGAAACAUAUAUUACAUGUAUAUAUAUAGUAUGCAUAUUUAUAAUAUAGCUAUAAGUAAUUAAUCACAUUUUAAAAUAAAGAUUACACCUUUGUUUACCAUUCUAGUUUUGAAUUCUUUUAUUUAGCUUGCAAGCUUGAAACUGCCUUGGAAUUUUAAACUUUUGAAAGAGUCAAGAAUUUAUUUUGGAAAUUUUGCAUGUCAUCAUCAAACCAUCUCCCCUCCCCUC